This 1619-nucleotide long non-coding RNA is filed under the name Gossypium barbadense (sea-island cotton). Its description in RNAcentral is "long non-coding RNA (GBAR_LNC005204)". The record is from RNAcentral. Lineage: Eukaryota; Viridiplantae; Streptophyta; Magnoliopsida; Malvales; Malvaceae.
UUUUUAUAAAAUAUAUAAGAAAAAAAAUUACAAAGAAUAAAAACAUGAGCUGAAAUACAAAAUAUAUAUAUAUACUCAAUUGAAGCAAAAAUAAAACUGAAAUGAUAAUUUACAAAUAAAUAAAGCAAUAAGACAGAUUUAAGGGUUAAAGCUUGAUGCGCACAAAUGUCCAAGGACUAAAGAGGCAAUUGUCCCCAAAUUCUAAAGCGCAGCGUUUAACUGUUGGUUAAAUUAAAACUAUGUACAAAUCUUAGGAACAAAUUAAAAAAACGGAAGAAAACAAAAGGAUUCAAUCGAAUAAUAGCGCGAAUAGAAAGGACUUAGCGCGCAAUUAUCCCUCCUCGCCAAAGACACGCGGAUCCUAGGGCUAGGAAUUGGAUCGGGGUGGGUUGGCUCUACACGAUACUGUUUUGGAGCCACUGAAACAGGCUCGAAACGGCGUCGUAUUUAACCCUUUAUAAGGGCUAAAACCGAAUCACUCAGCCAAACCCUAGCCAUCUCUCCUCUUUCAGCCAAACCCUAAAAUCUUCUAUUCAAAUGCCGAUCCAUCACCCCGAAUGGCGUUCGGCAUUUUUGAGCUAAGAAAGGUGGUUUUUUAGCCUUGAAACUCCUUUUAAACUUCGAUUUCGACGAAGCGAAAAGGAACUAGUGGCUUAAACAUAAGGUAUGAUCGCAUUUCUCUCUUUCUUUUGUUGUUUUUCUUUUAAAAUGAAAAAUAAAUAAAAAAAUCAAAAGAAACAGAUCAACAAAUAAUAGUAAAUGAAAGAGACUUAAGAAAAAUCGGGAAUCACGUUCUCAAAAAAAUGCUUUCAAAUUUUCCUAUUUAGUAUCCGUAAAAAAUACAUAGUACAUUCGGUCCUCUUUUAUAGCUGAAAAAUGAAAAUAAAAUAAAUAAGAAAAAUCCAAUUGCUUCGCUGUAAUCUGCUGUGUAUUCUGUUAUUUGCCUCUUCUCGCGUGUUCCAUUUGUAGAAAAGACCCGUACAGAGGCACGAGCGGAGAUGCGCGUGAGGGACUAGUGGCGCACGUGUGGUGUUCGUCCCGAUCACUAGCUGGCUACUGGUGAUUUCCAAAAACUUCUGGCCUGGGCUAUAUGAGCCUGUUUCGAGAACGAACUGCCAGGAACGCGGACUACUGCUACGGCGUUGAUCAGCAACUGGGGUUUGGGCUAGGGUUAGUCCUAGAUUGGGCCACUUGUGAAUCGGGCUAGGGAUUUUAGGUUUUGGGCUAGUAUUUUAUUUCUGUUUCGGGCUAUGUUUUGUUUUGGGCAUUUAUUCUUGUAAAAAAAAAACUUGGACUUUUAAUUAAUUAAUUUUGCUUUGGUUUAUUCUUGGAUAAAAUAAGUUGUAAAUAGACUUUUUGGACCAGUGGACUUUUACUAUUUUUGGUUUUAUUUUUAUUUUUAUUUUGGUUUUGGUUUUUUAUGGGCUCGGACAAAUUGGGCCGAUUACAGUGGUCUAAAGUGAAAUUAGUAUAAAAAUAUGAAGUUAAUUAUGAAGGUUAAAAUUAGUCUUGGUUUAGGGACUAAAUUGAAGAAUAAACAAAAUAUAGUGUGAAAAUUAAAAUUUAAUGUGAAGUUGAAAUGUGUAGUAUUAAUGUGAUUUAAUUGUUUUAUUUUGUAG